GAAGUAAAAGUCGUAACAAGGUCUCCGUAGGUGAACCUGCGGAGGGAUCAUUACUGAGUGAGGGCUCACGCCCGACCUCCAACCCUUUGUGAACACAUCUUGUUGCUUCGGGGGCGACCCUGCCGGCACUACGUCGCCGGGCGCCCCCGAAGGUCUCCAAACACUGCAUCUUUGCGUCGGAGUUUAAACAAAUUAAACAAAACUUUCAACAACGGAUCUCUUGGUUCUGGCAUCGAUGAAGAACGCAGCGAAAUGCGAUAAGUAAUGUGAAUUGCAGAAUUCAGUGAAUCAUCGAAUCUUUGAACGCACAUUGCGCCCUUUGGUAUUCCGAAGGGCAUGCCUGUUCGAGCGUCAUUUCACCACUCAAGCCUGGCUUGGUAUUGGGCGUCGCGGCUCCGCGCGCCUUAAAGUCUCCGGCUGAGCCAUUCGUCUCUAAGCGUUGUGGAUUUUCUAAUUCGCUUCGGAGUGCGGGUGGCCGCGGCCGUUAAAUCUUUACUUAAGGUUGACCUCGGAUCAGGUAGGGAUACCCGCUGAACUUAAGCAUAU
Molecule: ribosomal RNA, 546 nt
Filed under: Pseudocercospora ebulicola
Lineage: Eukaryota; Fungi; Ascomycota; Dothideomycetes; Mycosphaerellales; Mycosphaerellaceae
Description: eukaryotic LSU rRNA
Rfam family: 5.8S ribosomal RNA (bases 201-354)
Source: RNAcentral